AUACUACACUUGAUCGGGUCGAUGGAUGAUCCCAAGAUCCAUGGCCUAGGGUAGUGACCUCCAUUGCACUUAGGAGGGUCUUGCCUUAAGGUCUCCCAAGUUGGGAGAGCCUACGUCAUAAUUUGUGGCGGCGGGGGCUGCGGUCAUGCUGCCCCUA
Gossypium arboreum is the source of this 157-nucleotide small nuclear RNA. RefSeq annotates it as U1 spliceosomal RNA. The transcript has a single exon. NCBI's taxonomy places the organism in Eukaryota, Viridiplantae, Streptophyta, Magnoliopsida, Malvales, Malvaceae. The record is from RefSeq and is a predicted model, not a curated record.